RNAcentral lists this long non-coding RNA (1235 nucleotides) under Camarhynchus parvulus. Its description in RNAcentral is "lncRNA (ENSCPVG00000017929.1)". Lineage: Eukaryota; Metazoa; Chordata; Aves; Passeriformes; Thraupidae. The record is from RNAcentral.
AUGUCCCCGAAAUGUCCCCGAAAUGUCCCCAAAAUGUCCCCAGUGUCCUUAAUGUCCUCAAGUGUCCCCAAAAUGUCCCCAAAAUGUCCCCAGAAUGUCCCCAACCCCCCAAUGUCCCCAAAUGUCCCCAAAUUCCCCCAAAUCCCCACAAUGUCCCCUCAAUCCCCCAAUGUCCCCAAAUCCCCUCAAUCCCAUAAAUGUCCCCAAUGUCCCCUCAGUGUCCCCAGUGUCCCCAAUGUCCCCAAUGUCCCCAAUGUCCCCUCAGUGUCCCCAGUGUCCCCAAUGUCCCCAAUGUCCCCAAUGUCCCCAAUGUCCCCAAUGUCCCUCAAUGUCCCCAAUGCCCCCCAAUCCCCCCCAAUGUCCCCUCAAUGUCCUCCGUGUCCCCAAUGUCCCACAAUGUCCCCAAUGUCCCCAAUGUCCUCAAUGUCCCCAAUGUCCCCAAUGUCCCCUCAAUGUCCUCAGUGUCCCCAAUGUCCCCAAUGUCCCCAAUGUCCCCAAUGUCCUCAAUGUCCCCAAUGUCCCCAAUGUCCCUCAAUGUCCCCAGUGUCCCCAAUGUCCCCUCAAUGUCCCCAAUGCCCCCCAAUCCCCCCCAAUGUCCCCUCAGUGUCCUCAAUGUCCCACAAUGUCCCCAGUGUCCCCAGUGUCCCCUCAAUGUCCCCAAUGCCCCCCAAUGUCCCCAAUGUCCCCAGUGUCCCCUCAGUGUCCCCUGUGUCCCCAGGGCCGCUCCCCGCCGGCUCCGGGGUCGCUGCAGCCGCUGGCGCGGAGGUUGGGCUGCUCCGAGAGACAGCUCGGCAUCGCGUGGUCCCUGCGCCUCGAGGGCGUCAGCUCGGUGCUGCUGGCGGCCGAGACCCCGCGGGGGCUGCGGGAGCUGAUCCAGGCCCUGCAGGUCCUGCCCCGCCUCGGCCCCGCCGCCCUGCGCGAGCUCGAGCCCAUCCUGGGGGGCGGGGCCUCGCCCUGACCCCGCCCCCUCCGCCGCCUCCCAUUGGCUGCUCCCGCAUGGCCCCGCCCCCCUCCGCGCGCGCCUCGGCCCCGCCCAAUCGGGGCGGAGUCUCCGACAGCAAUAACCCCGCCCCCCCAAAAUGGGGGCGGGGCCAAUCAAAGCACAAACCCCGCCCCUAUUCAUAACCUUGACCAAUCGCAGCGCUUCCAGCGGGGGGGUGUGGCCUGAUAGGCCACGCCCCCUCCCGCCCCUCCCCCGCUGUGGGGGGAGGGGAAUAAAGUGGCUUUUCCCAUGU